UACGAAGGGUGCAAGCGUUGUUCGGAUUUACUGGGCGUAAAGCGUCCGUAGGUGGUCUGUUAAGUCAGGGGUGAAAUCCCGGGGCCUAACCCCGGAACUGCCUUUGAUACUGGCCGGCUGGAGCGCGAUAGAGGAAGAUGGAAUAUCUGGUGUAGGGGUGAAAUCCGUAGAUAUCAGAUAGAACACCAAUGGCGAAGGCAGUCUUCUGGAUCGUUGCUGACACUGAGGGACGAAAGCGUGGGUAGCAAAC
Molecule: ribosomal RNA, 250 nt
Filed under: uncultured prokaryote
Description: partial 16S ribosomal RNA
Rfam family: Bacterial small subunit ribosomal RNA
Source: RNAcentral